GACAUCCAGAGAACUUAGCAGAGAUGCUUGGUGCCUUCGGGAACUCUGAGACAGGUGCUGCAUGGCUGUCGUCAGCUCGUGUUGUGAAAUGUUGGGUUAAGUCCCGNAACGAGCGCAACCCUUAUCCUUUGUUGCCAGCGGCUCGGCCGGGAACUCAAAGGAGACUGCCGGUGAUAAACCGGAGGAAGGUGGGGAUGACGUCAAGUCAUCGUGGCCCUUACGGCCAGGGCUACACACGUGCUACAAUGGCGCAUACAAGAGAAGCGACCUCGCGAGAGCAAGCGGACCUCAUAAAGUGCGUCGUAGUCCGGAUUGGAGUCUGCAACUCGACUCCAUGAAGUCGGAAUCGCUAGUAAUCGUAGAUCAGAAUGCUACGGUGAAUACGUUCCCGGGCCUUGUACACACCGCCCGUCACACCAUGGGAGUGGGUUGCAAAAGAAGUAGGUAGCUUAACCUUCGGGAGGGCGCUUACCACUUUGUGAUUCAUGACUGGGGUGAAGUCGUAACAAGGUAAGCGUAGCGAG
This 524-nucleotide ribosomal RNA is filed under the name uncultured bacterium. Its description in RNAcentral is "bacterial SSU rRNA". It matches the Rfam family "Bacterial small subunit ribosomal RNA", at positions 983 to 1509 of the family's 1533-position model. The record is from RNAcentral.